This 253-nucleotide ribosomal RNA is filed under the name uncultured bacterium. Its description in RNAcentral is "partial 16S ribosomal RNA". It matches the Rfam family "Bacterial small subunit ribosomal RNA", at positions 524 to 776 of the family's 1533-position model. The record is from RNAcentral.
UACGUAGGGGGCAAGCGUUGUCCGGAAUCAUUGGGCGUAAAGAGCGUGUAGGCGGCCAGAUAAGUCCGCUGUGAAAUCUCGGGGCUCAACUUCGAGCUGUCGGUGGAAACUGUCUGGCUAGAGUCCGGAAGAGGAGAAUGGAAUUCCUGGUGUAGCGGUGAAAUGCGCAGAUAUCAGGAGGAACACCGGUGGCGAAGGCGGUUCUCUGGGCAUGUCCUGACGCUGAGGAGCGAAAGUGUGGGGAGCGAACAGG